AUUGAACGCUGGCGGCAGGCUUAACACAUGCAAGUCGAGCGGAGAGAGGUAGCUUGCUACUGAUCUUAGCGGCGGACGGGUGAGUAAUGCUUAGGAAUCUGCCUAUUAGUGGGGGACAACAUUUCGAAAGGAAUGCUAAUACCGCAUACGUCCUACGGGAGAAAGCAGGGGAUCUUCGGACCUUGCGCUAAUAGAUGAGCCUAAGUCGGAUUAGCUAGUUGGUGGGGUAAAGGCCUACCAAGGCGGCGAUCUGUAGCGGGUCUGAGAGGAUGAUCCGCCACACUGGGACUGGGACACGGCCCAGACUCCUACGGGAGGCAGCAGUGGGGAAUAUUGGACAAUGGGCGGAAGCCUGAUCCAGCCAUGCCGCGUGUGUGAAGAAGGCCUUAUGGUUGUAAAGCACUUUAAGCGAGGAGGAGGCUACUUUAGUUAAUACCUAGAGAUAGUGGACGUUACUCGCAGAAUAAGCACCGGCUAACUCUGUGCCAGCCGCCGCAGUAA
Molecule: ribosomal RNA, 501 nt
Filed under: uncultured bacterium
Lineage: Bacteria
Description: partial 16S ribosomal RNA
Rfam family: Bacterial small subunit ribosomal RNA
Source: RNAcentral